Molecule: ribosomal RNA, 373 nt
Filed under: uncultured bacterium
Lineage: Bacteria
Description: bacterial SSU rRNA
Rfam family: Bacterial small subunit ribosomal RNA
Source: RNAcentral
UACGGGGGGGGCAAGCGUUGUCCGGAAUUAUUGGGCGUAAAGGGCGCGUAGGUGGGAUAGCAAGUCUGGGGUGCAAACUUAUGGCUUAACUGUAAGCUUGCCCUGGAUACUACUAUUCUUGAGUUCGGGAGAGGGAAGUGGAAUUCCUGGUGUAGCGGUGAAAUGCGUAGAUAUCAGGAAGAACACCGGUGGCGAAGGCGGCUUCCUGGCACGAUACUGACACUGAGGCGCGAAAGUGCGGGGAGCAAACAGGAUUAGAUACCCUGGUAGUCCGCACAGUAAACGUUGGACACUAGGUGUUGGUCUCUAUGAGAUCAGCGCCGCAGCUAACGCAUUAAGUGUCCCGCCUGGGGAGUACGACCGCAAGGUUGAA